RNAcentral lists this ribosomal RNA (1470 nucleotides) under metagenome. Its description in RNAcentral is "bacterial SSU rRNA". It matches the Rfam family "Bacterial small subunit ribosomal RNA". The record is from RNAcentral.
AGAGUUUGAUCCUGGCUCAGGACGAACGCUGGCGGCACGCUUAACACAUGCAAGUCGAACGAGAGAAGAGGAGCUUGCUUUUCUGAUCUAGUGGCGGACGGGUGAGUAACACGUGAGCAAUCUGCCUUUCAGAGGGGGAUACCGAUUGGAAACGAUCGUUAAUACCGCAUAACAUAAUUGAACCGCAUGAUUUGAUUAUCAAAGAUUUAUCGCUGAAGGAUGAGCUCGCGUCUGAUUAGCUAGUUGGUAAGGUAACGGCUUACCAAGGCGACGAUCAGUAGCCGGACUGAGAGGUUGAUCGGCCACAUUGGGACUGAGACACGGCCCAGACUCCUACGGGAGGCAGCAGUGGGGAAUAUUGCACAAUGGAGGAAACUCUGAUGCAGCGAUGCCGCGUGAGGGAAGAAGGUUUUAGGAUUGUAAACCUCUGUCUUCAGGGACGAAAAAAGACGGUACCUGAGGAGGAAGCUCCGGCUAACUACGUGCCAGCAGCCGCGGUAAUACGUAGGGAGCGAGCGUUGUCCGGAAUUACUGGGUGUAAAGGGAGCGUAGGCGGGAUCGCAAGUCAGAUGUGAAAACUAUGGGCUUAACCCAUAAACUGCAUUUGAAACUGUGGUUCUUGAGUGAAGUAGAGGUAAGCGGAAUUCCUAGUGUAGCGGUGAAAUGCGUAGAUAUUAGGAGGAACAUCAGUGGCGAAGGCGGCUUACUGGGCUUUAACUGACGCUGAGGCUCGAAAGCGUGGGGAGCAAACAGGAUUAGAUACCCUGGUAGUCCACGCCGUAAACGAUGAUUACUAGGUGUGGGGGGACUGACCCCUUCCGUGCCGCAGCAAACGCAAUAAGUAAUCCACCUGGGGAGUACGACCGCAAGGUUGAAACUCAAAGGAAUUGACGGGGGCCCGCACAAGCAGUGGAGUAUGUGGAUUAAUUCGAAGCAACGCGAAGAACCUUACCAGGCCUUGACAUCGUAUGCAUAGCUCAGAGAUGAGUGAAAUCUCUUCGGAGACAUAUAGACAGGUGGUGCAUGGUUGUCGUCAGCUCGUGUCGUGAGAUGUUGGGUUAAGUCCCGCAACGAGCGCAACCCUUACUGUUAGUUGCUACGCAAGAGCACUCUAGCAGGACUGCCGUUGACAAAACGGAGGAAGGUGGGGAUGACGUCAAAUCAUCAUGCCCCUUAUGACCUGGGCCUCACACGUACUACAAUGGCUGUCAACAGAGGGAAGCAAAGCCGCGAGGUGGAGCGAACCCCUAAAAGCAGUCUUAGUUCGGAUUGUAGGCUGCAACCCGCCUACAUGAAGUCGGAAUUGCUAGUAAUCGCAGAUCAGCAUGCUGCGGUGAAUACGUUCCCGGGCCUUGUACACACCGCCCGUCACGCCAUGGGAGUCGGUAACACCCGAAGCCUGUAGUCUAACCGCAAGGAGGACGCAGUCGAAGGUGGGAUUGAUGACUGGGGUGAAGUCGUAACAAGGUA